Molecule: long non-coding RNA, 338 nt
Filed under: Trifolium pratense (red clover)
Lineage: Eukaryota; Viridiplantae; Streptophyta; Magnoliopsida; Fabales; Fabaceae
Description: long non-coding RNA (TPRA_LNC008733)
Source: RNAcentral
GAUAUUGUACCAUUCUCCAACUACAAGGAAACUCUAGAGUUUGUGGAAGAUUAGCUAAAGCCUGAAUGCAACUAGGAUAAUGUUAUCUCAAUUUCUAUUGUAUCGUGUACUAUUAAAAGUAUGUACACUGCAUUUUUUAUUUGUAUAUUGUCUCAACUUAUAUAUUAAUUACAUAGAGAUUAAGCACAUUCUAUUGGUGUUGCCUUAUUUUUCACCCUUUUCUUUAUAGUGCACGAUACAAAAGCACCCAAUAAAGUUUAAUCAAUGGAGAGCUUUAUGAGGCAGACUAAUAUAUAAGUUCAAAAAACAUUUAUGUGAGUGGUUUUUGUACUACAUUU